RNAcentral lists this ribosomal RNA (460 nucleotides) under uncultured bacterium. Its description in RNAcentral is "partial 16S ribosomal RNA". It matches the Rfam family "Bacterial small subunit ribosomal RNA", at positions 338 to 795 of the family's 1533-position model. The record is from RNAcentral.
CCUACGGGAGGCAGCAGUGAGGAAUAUUGGUCAAUGGACGAGAGUCUGAACCAGCCAAGUAGCGUGAAGGAUGACUGCCCUAUGGGUUGUAAACUUCUUUUAUAAAGGAAUAAAACGAGGCACGUGUGCCUGUUUGCAUGUACUUUAUGAAUAAGGAUCGGCUAACUCCGUGCCAGCAGCCGCGGUAAUAAGGAGGAUCCGAGCGUUAUCCGGAUUUAUUGGGUUUAAAGGGAGCGUAGAUGGGUUGUUAAGUCAGUUGUGAAAGUUUGCGGCUCAACCGUAAAAGUGAAAUUGAUACUGGCAGUCUUGAGUACAGUUGAGGUAGGCGGAAUUCGUGGUGUAGCGGUGAAAUGCUUAGAUAUCACGAAGAACCCCGAUUGCGAAGGCAGCUUACUAAACUGUGACUGACAUUGAUGCUCGAAAGUGUGGGUAUCAAACAGGAUUAGAUACCCUUGUAGUC